Molecule: long non-coding RNA, 1638 nt
Organism: Apteryx haastii (Great spotted kiwi)
Lineage: Eukaryota; Metazoa; Chordata; Aves; Apterygiformes; Apterygidae
Source: Ensembl
UGCCGCAGCUCCCCCCCUCCCCGCGCGGGUAACGGGUGCUGGCACCCCUGGGCUCUGCUUUCCCCCACCCACACAGCCGCUGCCCUGCGCGGUUAUCCCGGCUCCGGCUUUGCAAUAAAUUUUUGCAACCCUACGGCGCGCCUGGGCUGCCUGCUGCAAGGGCGGGGGGGGGAAAGAGGGGCGCACAGACAGCACUCGCUGCUCCAACGCUUUAUUUCCAACAAAACGCGAGUCCCGGUGCUCCCCUUUUUAACAGGCGCGGAGCAGGGCCAGGCUGGGCUCUGCCUCCCUCGCCCCAGGCGUGGGAAACGUGGCCCUCGGCGCACGCACGACCGCGGCGGCCCCUCGCCCGGGGCGCCGCGGGGGGCAGCCCUAGCUCAGGAUAUCCACGUCCAUGUCCGACUCGGAGGAGGGGUUGGGCCAGACACAGACAGCGCCGGGGGGCAGCGGCGGCUCCGCAGUGCCCACGUCGAUCUCCUCCUCCUCCUCGGCCUCCCUGGGGCGGCUGCGCUUGGGCUGCACCGCAGCCCUCCGGCCCCCCGGCAGCCUGUGGCCCUGCCUGCCGGCGGGGGGCCCCCGCGCUGGCUUCCUCGGGCGGUGGGCGCGGGGCAGAGCCUUGCCGGGGGGAGAGCAGUGGGCUGCAGCCCCCACGGCGGGCAGGUCAUCCCCACCUGCGGCAUCCACAGGCGGCUGCGGCUCCAUGGGGGCCGGGGCCAGCCUGGGCCGCGGCUCCACGUCGCUCCUCACGCUGCCGGGCACCUCUGGCCUGGCCCUGGUGGCCUCGGGCGCAGGUCGCGGCCCUGGUGGGCACCUCUCCUCCUGCACCACCUCCCAGCAGCCACGGCUCACCGCCUUCCUGAGCUUCACCGGCCCCACGGGCCCUGCGCUGGGACAGCCAGGCCGCUUGGCCCCCGGUGGCAGCGGCGGCAGCUUCUCCGGCGGGGGGCCACCCCGCUGCCUGCCGCCUGCGCCAGGGCUGGUGGCCGGCCGCCCCGCGGGACGCUCCGGCGGCCUGGCGGAGCCGGGAUUGGGCCGAGGCGCCUGCAGGCAGCCGCGGUCGAGCCGCCAGCUCGGGCCCGGCUUCACCAGCCGCCCAUCCUUCAGCUGCAGCGACUCCAGCUCGGCCACGCGGAGCUGCCGGGCGGCUGCCAGCACCUCCUGCGCCUCCUCCCACGACACCUCCAGCUCGGCCGUGUAGAGGAAAUCCACCAGCUUGCGCAGCGCCCCGAUUUUCAGCCCCCCCAGCUCCAGCACCACCCUGCGGCCCCGGGGCGGCAGCUCCCGCGCCAGCUGCUCCAUGAAGAAGGGGCUGCACACGGAGAGGACGCAGCAGUGAGCGGGCACGGCCUCGCCUGCAAAGCAACGGUGGCCGUCGCAGCCCAGCUCCGCCCGUCCUCGGCGGCACCCCGAGCCCUCGCGGCAGUGGCGGCCCCGCUCCCGGGGGCGCCCGGCGGAGGGCAGUUUCCCCCUCGCUCACCUUCCGCUUGCAGGACCACGUCGCAGAAGACGUCCGCCCGCUGCUGCUGCCGGUGCAGCUGCAGGAAGGCGGCGCGCAGCAGCCGGGAGCUGCGGUACAGCAGCCGCGGCGCGGCCGCCGGAGAGCCCAUGGGCGCCCCUGCGGAGACAGCGUGGCGCUAG